Molecule: ribosomal RNA, 492 nt
Filed under: Terebra consobrina
Lineage: Eukaryota; Metazoa; Mollusca; Gastropoda; Neogastropoda; Terebridae
Description: partial 16S ribosomal RNA
Rfam family: Bacterial large subunit ribosomal RNA
Source: RNAcentral
UCGGACCUGCCCGGUGAAUUUUUUUAACGGCCGCGGUACUCUGACCGUGCAAAGGUAGCAUAAUCAUUUGCCUUAUAAUUGAAGGCUGGUAUGAAUGGUUUGACAAGAAUAUGGCUGUCUCUUUAUAAUUUGAUAGAAUUUUAUUUUUAGGUGAAAAAGCCUUGAUUAAAUUAAUAGACAAGAAGACCCUAUCGAGCUUGAGAGAAUUUGGCGGAUAAAAUUGAAAGGCCUUAUCGGUGGAGAAAGGAGAGCUGUUGAAUACUUUGGUUGGGGCGACUAAGGAACAAAAAAAGCUUCCUUUAAUGAUAUUUGAUACAUACAAGUGUUGAUCCAAAAAUGUUGAUUAAAGGAAUUAGUUACCGUAGGGAUAACAGCAUUAUCCUUUUUGAGAGUUCAUAUCGAAAGAAGGGUUUGUGACCUCGAUGUUGGACCAGAAUGUCCUGAAGAUGCAGAAGUCUUCAAGGGUUGGUCUGUUCGACCAUUAAAAUUCUA